This is a long non-coding RNA of Diceros bicornis minor, 1537 nucleotides long. RefSeq lists it as uncharacterized. The record is from RefSeq and is a predicted model, not a curated record. The transcript has 2 exons. Lineage: Eukaryota; Metazoa; Chordata; Mammalia; Perissodactyla; Rhinocerotidae.
AUGAGGUCCCGCAGGAGGAAAGUGACAAGGUCCACAGAGGGCACUAAGGAUGCAAACACCAUCCCAAGUUAAUCUGUCAGGCCUCCAGACUGUUUCCAGAGACCAUCAUCAUCCACUUCCUGCAUAGUAUGAACAGCUACGUGGCACCUCCAUGGCCAGAUACUCAGGUGAAAACACCACAGGCUAGAUUGGAAGGCCUGGCGUGGUCUGUCCCCUGCUGGACUCUCCCCCAGAUUCUUCCCUCUCCCUGCAUCUGGCAAUAUCUCCAUGCACAGCUGGGCCAAGGCCUCUGUGACUUUGAGACUUUGCAUGUACAGUUCCUUCUCCUGAAAUGCCCUUCCCUCCCCAUUCCUGCCUCUCCAAGUCCUGCUCAACCUUCAGGCUCAGUCUUACAUGUCAUGAGGGGUGUGUGUGUGUGUGUGUGUGUGUGUGUGUGUGUGUGUGUGUGUCUGUGUCUGUGUAUCAUUGUAUGGUUCUUAGCAGAGUGACAUCCAGUCAUUUAUUCACAGCCUCAUUUAACAAGUGCUAUUCCACACCUACUCCAUGCCAGCAUUGUCAUAGGGGCCACAACUUCAAAACCUACUGUCAUCCAGAGGAUUCGAAGACACACUUCUGCAAAGAGGAUGCACAAAUGACUAAAGAGCACAUUAAAAGAUGGUCAACAUCAUCAGUCAUUAGAGAAACGCAAAUCAAAUCCACAAUGAAAUACAAUUUCACACCCAUUAGAACAGCUAUUAUAUAUUUUGAAAAAUGCAGAAAAUAUCAAGUGUUGGUGAAGAUGUGGACAAAUGGGAACCCUCAUGCAUUGCUUGUGGGAAUGAAAAAUGGUGAAGCCUCCUAGAAAACCCUUUGGAAUUUCCUUCAAAAGUUAAAUACAGAAUUACCAUAUGACCCAGCACUUACACUUCUAGUUGUGUACUUAAAGGAAGUGAAAGCAUGGAUGUAACAGAUACUUGCACAUCAUUGUUCACAGCAGCGUUAUUCACAGUAGCAGUGGACCAACCCUAGUGUCCAUCAACAAAAGAAUGGAUGAACCAAAUGUGGUAUAUACAUACAAUGGAGUAUCAUUCAUCCUUAAAGAGGAAUGAAUGACAUUCUGACACAUGCUACAACAUGGAUGACCCUUGAAAACAACACGGUAAAUGAAAGGAUCCAGACACAAAAGGACAAAUAUUGCAUGAUUCUGCUUCUGUGAGCUGCCCACGAAGGCAAAUUCAUAGAAACAGAAAGUAGAAUGGUGGCUGCUUGGAACCAGGGGAUGGGGGAUGGGGAGUUGUUUUGUGUAACUGUGCAGAGUUACUGUUUGGGAUGACGGAAAUGUUCAGGAAAUAGACAGUGGUGAUGGUUGCACAACACUGUGAGUGUACCUAGUGUCAUUGAAUUGUAUCGUAUAGAAUGUUAAAAACAGUAAGUUUUAUUUCAUGGAUAUUUUACCACAGUAAAGCAAAGGAAACGAGAGGCACUUUUGUCAUCAAGAUGCCGUCAUUAUGGAGAUGAGAAUAAAAAAUAAAUAAAAAUAGAGCAUGUUGGAUAUCAA